GAUGAAGAACGCAGCGAAAUGCGAUACGUAAUGUGAAUUGCAGAAUUCAGUGAAUCAUCGAGUCUUUGAACGCACAUUGCGCCCCCUGGUAUUCCGGGGGGCAUGUCUGUCCGAGCGUCAUUGCUGCCCUCAAGCCCGGCUUGUGUGUUGGGUCUCGUCCCCCUUCCCGGGGGGACGGGCCCGAAAGGCAGCGGCGGCACCGCGUCCGGUCCUCGAGCGUAUGGGGCUUUGUCACCCGCUCUGUAGGCCCGGCCGGCGCUUGCCGAUCAACCAAAACUUUUUUCCAGGUUGACCUCGGAUCAGGUAGGGAUACCCGCUGAACUUAAGCAUAUCAAUAAGCGGAGGA
RNAcentral lists this unclassified non-coding RNA (346 nucleotides) under soil metagenome. RNAcentral describes it as "partial contains 5.8S ribosomal RNA, internal transcribed spacer 2, and large subunit ribosomal RNA". The stretch from base 1 to 120 matches the Rfam family "5.8S ribosomal RNA", at positions 35 to 154 of the family's 154-position model. The record is from RNAcentral.